GACGAACGCUGGCGGCGUGCUUAACACAUGCAAGUCGAACGGAAAGGCCCUGCUUUUGUGGGGUGCUCGAGUGGCGAACGGGUGAGUAACACGUGAGUAACCUGCCCUUGACUUUGGGAUAACUUCAGGAAACUGGGGCUAAUACCGGAUAGGAGCUCCUGCUGCAUGGUGGGGGUUGGAAAGUUUCGGCGGUUGGGGAUGGACUCGCGGCUUAUCAGCUUGUUGGUGGGGUAGUGGCUUACCAAGGCUUUGACGGGUAGCCGGCCUGAGAGGGUGACCGGCAAAAUGGGAAUGGGAUACCGGCCAGACCCCUUAGGGGGGGAAGAGUGGGGGAUAAUUGAAAAUGGGGGGAAGCCUGAUGCAGCAACGCCGCGUGCGGGAUGACGGCCUUCGGGUUGUAAACCGCUUUCGCCUGUGACGAAGCGUGAGUGACGGUAAUGGGUAAAGAAGCACCGGCUAACUACGUG
RNAcentral lists this ribosomal RNA (467 nucleotides) under uncultured bacterium. RNAcentral describes it as "partial 16S ribosomal RNA". It matches the Rfam family "Bacterial small subunit ribosomal RNA", at positions 28 to 507 of the family's 1533-position model. The record is from RNAcentral.